UUAAAAUGUAUAUAUAUUUAAAAUACACAGGAUUUUAGACCUGCUCCGUCUCCGACCUGGGCCGGUUCACCCCUCCUUAGACAACCUGGUGGCCCCCCGCUCCCAAGAGGUCA
Molecule: long non-coding RNA, 113 nt
Organism: Myotis davidii
Lineage: Eukaryota; Metazoa; Chordata; Mammalia; Chiroptera; Vespertilionidae
Exons: 2
Source: RefSeq, a predicted model, not a curated record